RNAcentral lists this small RNA (99 nucleotides) under Carlito syrichta (Philippine tarsier). RNAcentral's name for it is "7SK RNA (ENSTSYG00000035525.1)". The record is from RNAcentral. Lineage: Eukaryota; Metazoa; Chordata; Mammalia; Primates; Tarsiidae.
ACUAUUCUUCCAUCAAGGGUAUACAAGUAGCUGUGCUCCCCUGCUAGAACCUCCAAACAAGCUCUCAAAUGGAAUUUCAAAGGGCCUAUAUUGUUUACC